RNAcentral lists this ribosomal RNA (1147 nucleotides) under Arthrobacter sp. SLG510B2-13A2. Its description in RNAcentral is "bacterial SSU rRNA". It matches the Rfam family "Bacterial small subunit ribosomal RNA", at positions 240 to 1397 of the family's 1533-position model. The record is from RNAcentral. Lineage: Bacteria; Bacillati; Actinomycetota; Actinomycetes; Micrococcales; Micrococcaceae.
AUCAGCUUGUUGGUGGGGUAAUGGCCUACCAAGGCGACGACGGGUAGCCGGCCUGAGAGGGUGGACGGCCACACUGGGACUGAGACACGGCCCAGACUCCUACGGGAGGCAGCAGUGGGGAAUAUUGCACAAUGGGCGCAAGCCUGAUGCAGCGACGCCGCGUGAGGGAUGAAGGCCUUCGGGUUGUAAACCUCUUUCAGUAGGGAAGAAGCGAAAGUGACGGUACCUGCAGAAGAAGCGCCGGCUAACUACGUGCCAGCAGCCGCGGUAAUACGUAGGGCGCAAGCGUUAUCCGGAAUUAUUGGGCGUAAAGAGCUCGUAGGCGGUUUGUCGCGUCUGCCGUGAAAGUCCGGGGCUUAACUCCGGAUCUGCGGUGGGUACGGGCAGACUUGAGUGAUGUAGGGGAGACUGGAAUUCCUGGUGUAGCGGUGAAAUGCGCAGAUAUCAGGAGGAACACCGAUGGCGAAGGCAGGUCUCUGGGCAUUAACUGACGCUGAGGAGCGAAAGCAUGGGGAGCGAACAGGAUUAGAUACCCUGGUAGUCCAUGCCGUAAACGUUGGGCACUAGGUGUGGGGGACAUUCCACGUUUUCCGCGCCGUAGCUAACGCAUUAAGUGCCCCGCCUGGGGAGUACGGCCGCAAGGCUAAAACUCAAAGGAAUUGACGGGGGCCCGCACAAGCGGCGGAGCAUGCGGAUUAAUUCGAUGCAACGCGAAGAACCUUACCAAGGCUUGACAUGAACCGGAACGGCGCAGAGAUGUGUCGGCCACUUGUGGCCGGUUUACAGGUGGUGCAUGGUUGUCGUCAGCUCGUGUCGUGAGAUGUUGGGUUAAGUCCCGCAACGAGCGCAACCCUCGUUCCAUGUUGCCAGCGGGUUAUGCCGGGGACUCAUGGGAGACUGCCGGGGUCAACUCGGAGGAAGGUGGGGAGGACGUCAAAUCAUCAUGCCCCUUAUGUCUUGGGCUUCACGCAUGCUACAAUGGCCGGUACAAAGGGUUGCGAUGCUGUGAGGUGGAGCUAAUCCCAAAAAGCCGGUCUCAGUUCGGAUUGAGGUCUGCAACUCGACCUCAUGAAGUCGGAGUCGCUAGUAAUCGCAGAUCAGCAACGCUGCGGUGAAUACGUUCCCGGGCCUUGUACACACCGCCCGU